Non-coding RNA from Glossina morsitans morsitans, 74 nucleotides. NCBI's taxonomy places the organism in Eukaryota, Metazoa, Arthropoda, Insecta, Diptera, Glossinidae. The record is from Rfam.
UAACUCUUCAAGAUGUUGUGAAAUGUCGCUUUGGAAUUUUUCAAUUCAUAUCACAGCCAUUUUGAUGAGUUAUA